This 373-nucleotide ribosomal RNA is filed under the name uncultured organism. RNAcentral's name for it is "partial 16S ribosomal RNA". It matches the Rfam family "Bacterial small subunit ribosomal RNA", at positions 527 to 896 of the family's 1533-position model. The record is from RNAcentral.
GUAGGUGGCAAGCGUUGUCCGGAAUUAUUGGGCGUAAAGCGCGCGCAGGCGGUUCUUUAAGUCUGAGGUGAAAGCCCACGGCUCAACCGUGGAGGGUCAUUGGAAACUGGAGAACUUGAGUACAGAAGAGGAAAGCGGAAUUCCACGUGUAGCGGUGAAAUGCGUAGAGAUGUGGAGGAACACCAGUGGCGAAGGCGGCUUUCUGGUCUGUAACUGACGCUGAGGCGCGAAAGCGUGGGGAGCAAACAGGAUUAGAUACCCUGGUAGUCCACGCCGUAAACGAUGAGUGCUAAGUGUUAGGGGGGUUUCCGCCCCCCUUAGUGCUGCAGCUAACGCAUUAAGCACUCCGCCUGGGAGUACGGCCGCAAGGCUG